UCUUUUCCUCAGAACUAUCAAAUCCAUCUUCAGAAACUUGACAUCUCCAUUGCCUUUGUUCUAGGAAGCAGCAUUGGAUUAUCUCUGGACCCAAAUUUGUGGCAUAGAAAUAUCACAAGUGGAAAAUCUACAUCUGGAAAAACAGAGACUGAGUUUGUCCACAGUUUGGAAAGCUUCCAGAAAAUAAUGGCUACAGGAACUAUCAAGUGCUACCACAAUGCAAGAAAUGAUUGAUCUGGCUAAGAUCAUAUUACUGGCUUCCUCCUGGUCAAGUAAGUUUUUCAUGACCCUUUAUAUUAAGCUUCAAUGAUGUGUAGCAUAUUUUAGUGAAUACAUAGCAUUUUGUUAUUCAAGCCCAAUGGAAAUAAAAUACAAUGCUGUAAAUAUUGAUCA
Molecule: long non-coding RNA, 393 nt
Filed under: Parus major (Great Tit)
Lineage: Eukaryota; Metazoa; Chordata; Aves; Passeriformes; Paridae
Description: lncRNA (ENSPMJG00000010751.1)
Source: RNAcentral